This 431-nucleotide long non-coding RNA is filed under the name Gossypium barbadense (sea-island cotton). RNAcentral describes it as "long non-coding RNA (GBAR_LNC020236)". The record is from RNAcentral. Lineage: Eukaryota; Viridiplantae; Streptophyta; Magnoliopsida; Malvales; Malvaceae.
CCAAAUUUUUGAAGAGGGAUAAGGAUUCAGGGGCGGCGUCACGGGGUAUUAUGAGGCGUUUGGAGAGUGGAAGAGCGGAGCUUGAAGAGGGCGGCUUUGAAAUAGGAGAAAGGGUUGGGUGGAAAUGAAGGCUUUGAAAUAGGAGAAAGGGUUGGGUGGGAAUGAAGGAAGCGUUUUUGGUUGAGUGAAAGCAGAUUUCUGAGAAGGAUUUUCGCCAUCCUUGGGAAUAUUGGUUCAGCGUUUAAGCAGCUGAAGAAGCAGCCCACUUACCGCAGGGCUUCAGCUCACUCACUAUUUACAGCAAAUGGAAAUCAAGGGUUUUUACAAGGGUUAAUUUCUGAUAUUAGUCCCUCUACUCUGCACUUUAAUUUAUCAAUUUUAACAUGCUAUUUUAAUACUGAAAUUUGAAAUUUCAAUCGUAAUCUAAACCG